CUUGUAAUGGAUUUUGCUGUCAUCAUUAGACACGGGUGACCGUUUGUAGAAUCCAUCGCUGCUUGCAGGAGAGUGGCCUUUAUUUGCAGGAGAUCAGGAAAAUCAACUUCAAACACAUUGCUUUCCUUCAGGCAACUCAAUCGGGAUUCAUAUGGUAGAUUCUGAUAAAGCAAUGUAAAUGAACAACUCAUCUAGUGUCACGAUGUCAGGAUUAUCUGUUACUCAGAACUCCUAUGAUUAAAAAUCCGUUAUACACAAAAAUGUCCCAACAUCGUACA
This is a long non-coding RNA of Pyrus x bretschneideri (Chinese white pear), 278 nucleotides long. RefSeq lists it as uncharacterized. NCBI's taxonomy places the organism in Eukaryota, Viridiplantae, Streptophyta, Magnoliopsida, Rosales, Rosaceae. The transcript is spliced from 2 exons. The record is from RefSeq and is a predicted model, not a curated record.